GUCGAGCGGCAGGCGCAGCAAUGCGCUGAGAGCGGCGGACUGGUGAGUAACGCGUGGGUAAUCUACCUUUGGCAUGGGGAUAGCCACUAGAAAUAGUGGGUAAUACCGAAUACGUUCCCUGGGGGGAUGGUUUCAGGGAAGAAAGGGUGCUACGGCACCGGCCAAAGAUGAGCUCGCGUCCCAUUAGCUAGUUGGCGAGGUAACGGCCCACCAAGGCGAUGAUGGGUAGCCGGCCUGAGAGGGUGUACGGCCACACUGGGACUGAGAUACGGCCCAGACUCCUACGGGAGGCAGCAGCUAAGAAUAUUCCGCAAUGGACGAAAGUCUGACGGAGCGACGCCGCGUGGAUGAUGAAGGCCGAAAGGUUGUAAAGUCCUUUUGCUGGGGAAGAAUAAGUGUGGGAGGGGAUGCCCGCAUGAUGACAUGAACCGGCGAAUAAGCCCCGGCCAACUACGUGCCAGCAGCCGCGGUAACACGUAGGGGGCGAGCGUUGUUCGGAAUUACUGGGCGUAAAGGGCAUGUAGGCGGUCUGGUAAGCCUGGCGUGAAAGGCCACAGCUCAACUGUGGGAUUGCGUUGGGAACUGCUGGGCUUGAGUUAUGGAGAGGGAGCUAGAAUUCCUGGUGUAGGGGUGAAAUCUGUAGAUAUCAGGAAGAAUACCGAUGGCGAAGGCAAGCUCCUGGCCGAUGACUGACGCUGAGGUGCGAAAGUGUGGGGAUCAAACAGGAUUAGAUACCCUGGUAGUCCACACUGUAAACGAUGUGCACUAGGUGCUGGGGCGGUAGCUUCAGUGCCGGAGCGAACGUGGUAAGUGCACCGCCUGGGGAGUAUGCUCGCAAGGGUGAAACUCAAAGGAAUUGACGGGGGCCCGCACAAGCGGUGGAGCAUGUGGUUUAAUUCGAUGGUACGCGAGGAACCUUACCUGGGUUUGACAUACAGGGGGAUGUGGCAGCGAUGUCACAGACUGGAAACAGUACCCUGUACAGGUGCUGCAUGGCUGUCGUCAGCUCGUGCCGUGAGGUGUUGGGUUAAGUCCCGCAACGAGCGCAACCCCUACUGCCAGUUACUAACAGGUAACGCUGAGGACUCUGGCGGAACUGCCGGUGACAAACCGGAGGAAGGUGGGGAUGACGUCAAGUCAUCAUGGCCCCUAUGUCCAGGGCUACACACGUGCUACAAUGGGCGAUACAGAGUGACGCGAAGCCGCGAGGUGGAGCAAAUCGCAGAAAAUCGCUCUCAGUUCGGAUUGGAGUCUGAAACCCGACUCCAUGAAGGUGGA
This 1278-nucleotide ribosomal RNA is filed under the name uncultured Spirochaetaceae bacterium. RNAcentral's name for it is "bacterial SSU rRNA". It matches the Rfam family "Bacterial small subunit ribosomal RNA", at positions 61 to 1330 of the family's 1533-position model. The record is from RNAcentral. Lineage: Bacteria; Pseudomonadati; Spirochaetota; Spirochaetia; Spirochaetales; Spirochaetaceae.